CCAUAAAUGACCGAGUCGGGCAGCACAUUAAGCAGUGCGUUUCCCCUCCAAAAUAAAAGAAAAAGAGCAUAGACUCUGGAAUACAGCCAACAUGCCAGGAACGAAAGGUAAUAAAUCGGACAAGAAGUCAGCUACCAAGCAACCUCAGAGUCCUAAAGAACAGCCGAAAAAAGGUGACCAGAAAGGAGACGAUAACAAGAAGCAAGGAGGACAGCCGAAGGGAGAGAAGCAAUAACUUCCAGGCGUUUGUGAAGAUGGCUUUGGAGACGCUGCUGGGGUCCUGCCGCCGUAAACACGGGGGUCCCCAGGGAAGACAGAGCUGAGCGUCCCUCCCCUCCUCCUUCUUCUUCUGCAGCCUGUGCUGCUGCAUAGCCCUGCAAUACAACAUCUGCUCGCCCCCACAGAGAGGCACAAGGCAGACCUGAUUUCCAUCCAUCACCAUCUGUUUCUACCCUCUGUUCUUCUCGGCCCAUUCCUCUCUAACCCAAAGUCUCCUCUCUCCCUCGCUGGAUGCUAAGAAAGAGACUUCAGGUUAGAUCAGACUAAUGUCCCCCCCCCCAACACCAGCCCUCCUUUAUGCCAACACCGACUGUUCAACAGCGUAUACUUUCUUUUUGUAAAUAAAAACUGAAAUAAAAACAAAUGAUUUA
Long non-coding RNA from Fundulus heteroclitus (mummichog), 650 nucleotides. RefSeq lists it as uncharacterized. The record is from RefSeq and is a predicted model, not a curated record. Lineage: Eukaryota; Metazoa; Chordata; Actinopteri; Cyprinodontiformes; Fundulidae. The transcript is spliced from 4 exons.